This is a long non-coding RNA of Raphanus sativus (radish), 441 nucleotides long. RefSeq lists it as uncharacterized. The record is from RefSeq and is a predicted model, not a curated record. Lineage: Eukaryota; Viridiplantae; Streptophyta; Magnoliopsida; Brassicales; Brassicaceae. The transcript is spliced from 3 exons.
CGGCGAAGCGCUGCCAAAUUUACCAAAAACACAGCCAUCAACUACCUUGUGUUCCCAAGAGAAAUCAGUGCCAAGUUGGUGAUUUUGAGAGAUGAUUCCGACCAGAUACAAGAGUGUUAAGAAAAUAACCCAAGAUGUAUUGAUAGAUCUCGUUGCAAGAAAGACACAGCAACUUUCGGAUCUCUAUUACGAGAGCCAUAUUGUAGAGCGAUUUCCGGUUGAUACAGAAGGAGUUAGGUGACAUUCUUUAUAUUUUUAAAAAUCUGACGUUCCCAGCUUUCCAUAGACACUAAGAACACUCCAUUAAAAGUUCACAGAGCUAUAUUGAGAAGAGAAUUCUCGUCGCUACAGAAGGAUCUAGAUGACAACAUUAUUAUUGUUAGAAAUAUGACGUUCCCAGCUUUCUAAAGACACCAAGAACACUUAGUUACAAAGUACGAU